AAAACAAAACAAAACAAAACAGCUAAUGGAUCUGCUGGAGUUACCCACCCUGGGUCUGCUGCACUUUUGACAGAAGAGACGGAAGCUGCGGCCCCAUCAGGAGUUCAAUGGUGAGGGGCAGCCACUGGCUGAUGUAUGACAUCAUGACAUAUGAUGUAUGACUUUAUGACAUAUGAGGGCAGGUGUAAGUGAGCCGGCCAAGACCUAAUUUAGGGGUGAUCUAAGUUGUGGAGUACUUAUCAGGAGUACUGACUGGACUGGGCUGUCCAUUCACACAGGAAUCUGAUGGAUCUCAAAGUCCAGUUUGGGAGCUAUGAUGUUAUCCCCAUUGUCAACUUCACCGGAUUUAGAGGAGUAUCACCCAGUCCCUUAACAAAACCAAGCUGAAGAAUGAAGCCAGCCUGCAAAACACACUUCAAACCCUCCUUGUUUGCUCCAUGCUGAGAGUGGAGAGGAAGGAACUGGGAAGUGGGAAGUGAGUGGAAGUCAUACAGCCUACCACACCAAGAAGCUCUUCCAGCAAGAUCCCAUCUGCUGAUUCUCACUGAUGCAAACCAACAGAGCCUUGUUAUGAUACUGUAAAACGUGUUAUGCUUCCGUAA
Long non-coding RNA from Mus musculus (house mouse), 602 nucleotides. RefSeq annotates it as ubiquitin specific peptidase 46, opposite strand 1. The transcript is spliced from 2 exons. NCBI's taxonomy places the organism in Eukaryota, Metazoa, Chordata, Mammalia, Rodentia, Muridae. The record is from RefSeq and is a predicted model, not a curated record.